RNAcentral lists this ribosomal RNA (253 nucleotides) under uncultured bacterium. RNAcentral's name for it is "partial 16S ribosomal RNA". It matches the Rfam family "Bacterial small subunit ribosomal RNA", at positions 524 to 776 of the family's 1533-position model. The record is from RNAcentral.
UACGUAGGGUGCGAGCGUUGUCCGGAAUUAUUGGGCGUAAAGAGCUCGUAGGCGGCUUGUCACGUCGACUGUGAAAACCCGGGGCUCAACUCCGGGCCUGCAGUCGAUACGGGCUGGCUUGAGUGCGGUAGGGGAGACUGGAAUUCCUGGUGUGGCGGUGAAAUGCGCAGAUAUCAGGAGGAACACCGGUGGCGAAGGCGGAUCUCUGGGCCUUACCUGACGCUGAGGCGCGAAAGCUAGGGGAGCAAACAGG